UCUCUCGUAGUCGUCAGAGCAUUGGUGCGUGAAGCCAAAGAUUCCGGGUUCGAUUCCCGGCGAGGGUG
RNAcentral lists this transfer RNA (68 nucleotides) under Agrilus planipennis (emerald ash borer). It matches the Rfam family "tRNA". Rfam says of the family: Transfer RNA (tRNA) molecules are approximately 80 nucleotides in length. The record is from Rfam by way of RNAcentral. Lineage: Eukaryota; Metazoa; Arthropoda; Insecta; Coleoptera; Buprestidae.